GACGAACGCUGGCGGCGUGCCUAAUACAUGCAGGUAGAACGCUGAAGAGAGGAGCUUACUCUUCUUGGAUGAGUUGCGAACGGGUGAGUAACGCGUAGGUAACCUGCCUUGUAGCGGGGGAUAACUAUUGGAAACGAUAGCUAAUACCGCAUAACAAUGGAUGACACAUGUCAUUUAUUUGAAAGGGGCAAUUGCUCCACUACAAGAUGGACCUGCGCUGUAUUAGCUAGUAGGUGAGGUAAUGGCUCACCUAGGCGACGAUACAUAGCCGACCUGAGAGGGUGAUCGGCCACACUGGGACUGAGACACGGCCCAGACUCCUACGGGAGGCAGCAGUAGGGAAUCUUCGGCAAUGGGGGCAACCCUGACCGAGCAACGCCGCGUGAGUGAAGAAGGUUUUCGGAUCGUAAAGCUCUGUUGUAAGUCAAGAACGGGUGUGAGAGUGGAAAGUUCACACUGUGACGGUAGCUUACCAGAAAGGGACGGCUAACUACGUG
RNAcentral lists this ribosomal RNA (497 nucleotides) under uncultured bacterium. RNAcentral's name for it is "partial 16S ribosomal RNA". It matches the Rfam family "Bacterial small subunit ribosomal RNA", at positions 28 to 507 of the family's 1533-position model. The record is from RNAcentral.